Molecule: long non-coding RNA, 989 nt
Organism: Vidua chalybeata
Lineage: Eukaryota; Metazoa; Chordata; Aves; Passeriformes; Viduidae
Exons: 3
Source: RefSeq, a predicted model, not a curated record
UUGAAGAAUUUUAAAUUCUUUUGGUAUGGUAAGAUGAAUACUCCUCAGUGAAUGAUUGCCAGCACUGAAGACAGUCUUGGGUUGCUGGAGACAGAUUUGAGGAAUUGCAUAUCUGUUGGGGCAGCCAACAGGUGCAGUAGUUUGUGCAGCAGUUUCUGGACUGUGCUUUGAAAUCUUGUGGGUGUUCUGAAAGUUUCUUCUAGGAUUGACAGGACUCAGAGACAUUUGAGUAGUAUCAGUGUGCUGCUGCUGCGUGUGAGAAUGCUGCAGCCUCGAACAGGUCUGGCCUGUUCCUGAAGAAAGGGGGCUCUGUGCCACUGUUCAGCUUAUUCCUGGCUGAAGUGGACACGGGCCUUUUCAGUAGGUAUAGGGCAGCCCUCCAGAAGCACUGCCUGGCUGAGGACAUGGCUUCCCAAAGCAGCAGUCAGUGCAGGACGGAGGCAGGGACCUCGCUGUGAGCAGCAGACACAUGCCCUGCCAUGGUGAGGAUGUGGCACAGAACACAGACCCUAGAAGAGCUGGGUCAGUGGCCCCUGUGACAUCAGCAGCCUCAGCCUGAGUGCAGUUCUACAGGGCUGGGGCUGAGGAAUGCUGGGGACCUCUCAUCAGGGCUAGGGACGUAGGCUUUUGUGCCUAGGAGGAUCCAUGUUGUCCAUUAGCAGAGAUGUGGGAGGAUGAAAGGGGCUGUGCAUCAUCAGUGAUGACAAGAAAGAUCCACCAGAUCUUUUCCAGGACCCCGCAGGUCCAAAAGCUCCUCUGUCCUGAGGUACAGGCAGAGCCUGUUGGAUAGGAAAGCAGGACUCCCACUAUGGCAAAGGUAAAUGUUCAAGAGCUUAAUGUCUGUCAAGGGCAGGUUUGGUGCUGCUGAGGAUUCCUGAAGAGCAGCAGGGUUUUAAGCAAGGCUUCUCCCAGAAGAAUGCUGAUGAAAAGCGCAGCAUCCCAAUGCUCACUUCCAGAGUAUGAUUGAAUUGCAGUUGAAAAUGGGAUCA